Molecule: ribosomal RNA, 272 nt
Filed under: uncultured bacterium
Lineage: Bacteria
Description: partial 16S ribosomal RNA
Rfam family: Bacterial small subunit ribosomal RNA
Source: RNAcentral
CUUAUGCCGGCGACCGGCGGACGGGUGCGUAACGCGUAUGUAACCUACCUUUGACAGGGGGAUAACAUCGAGAAAUUGGUACUAAUACCCCAUAACAUCACCGGAGGCAUCUUCGGUGGUUGAAAACUCAGGUGGUCAGAGAUGGACAUGCGUUGUAUUAGCUAGUUGGUGAGGUAACGGCUCACCAAGGCGACGAUACAGUAGGGGGACUGAGAGGUCCAACCCCCACAUUGGUACUGAGACACGGACCAAACUCCUACGGGAGGCAGCAG